RNAcentral lists this long non-coding RNA (2493 nucleotides) under Equus caballus (horse). Its description in RNAcentral is "lncRNA (ENSECAG00000059359.1)". Lineage: Eukaryota; Metazoa; Chordata; Mammalia; Perissodactyla; Equidae. The record is from RNAcentral.
CUAGUACAUCACUCUUUGAUUUGAAAUGAGGAGAUAAAUUGCAGAGAGAGAGUCAGCAACACCUGAUCUUUUCUCCAGAAAGGUGAGAGGACAUCAGAGAAGCAGUGGUGACAAGCCAACUGACACGUGGACCCUGACGAGUGCUCAGUGAUCUCUAUAUGCUUCCUCAUCAGACUCUCCUUCAAGGUGAAGGUUCCUAAGCAGAGACUGUCAACCAAAUGUUGACAUGAAUGCUGUGACCAGAGGAAUCCUUUGUCUCUCCAUAGGGGAUGCUAGAGCUUGCAGUACCGUCUCCACGAAGGCAUGCCUGUAGACCCGAACCUUAUGAAGGGAAUGCAGGAGCACAUUCAGGAAGGGUCACUCCCCAGCUGAUGGCCGUGUGAGGAACCUGCUCUCCAGGGGUCAGCUGCUCUCCUGGACUGCGUGCCCUGGUGCUCCAGCCCAGCAUAGCACAGUUGCCCAUGUCCUGUUUAAAGAACUCUGGGGCUCUGCAAGGACAGCCAGGUCUCCAUCAUGUGGCCUUCUGCAGGUCAGUCAGUCAGGCAUGGGAACUGCAGAGUCCACUCCCUCCCGCUGUCCAGGCCAGGCCCUCAGGUGUCCCAAACAGGAGUGCCCACAUCCCAUCCUGGGAACCUUCCCUUCCCAGGGAGAGGCUCCAGCUUGACUGGGAGGCACCUUCAGAAAGUCCUGGGGGAUAUGGAGAAGCAGCAGCCAUCUGAUCCCAAGGCCUUGUCCAUGGAAUCCAGGGAGGCUGGAGUGGGGGAUGCUCAGCACAACCUCAGCCCAUUGCCAUCAUCUUCUUGUCCAUGCCCAAACUCAAUUCAGGCAUCAUCUACUGAGUGGAGCCUCUGCCCAGCUGGGUUAGAAGCCCUUUCUCUGUCACCACGUGCUUCUCCUCAUCAUUCAUUCAGUAAACAUGUACUGGGCCCUCCCUGUGCCGGGCACAGAGGAUACAAAGGUGACUGUGGUGUGGUCCUUUGUGAGGAGUUCCUUGUCAUGCACUUUGCCACAUUCAUGAGCAUCUCACAGUGGACACAUGAGCCCACCCUCAUGGCCACCAUUCAUUUAUCCAUAAAAGUGGUCACCUGACCAAGGCUGAGCCAAUCAUAGUCCUUCUCUGAGACCUUCCAAAUUGGAACUAAUAUGGCGUAUCUUUCUCCAAUGGCCGAGGCUCCAUGACAUGAGGCUCAGGGGCUGUGAACCUCCAUGUUUCCUGCCACCUGGAGAAGCUGGUCCACCGUGGGAGAGAAUAGAGUCAGUGCAGGGAGUGACGAGGACACGAUGCUGCUCCUGAAGCUCACACCCAUCUGCCUCUGGCAGUGUGUGGGCACACCUGAGUCAGGUGGGGUCCUGAUGUGACCAGAUGGCACGCCCAAUGUGGAUAACUGAAGAUAGCUUUUCUAUUUAUCCUUAGAGGUGUAGGCAGGUGCAGAGGACCCACAGCAAUGCUGAAGCACCCCAGGGACUAGCAAGAAUGAGGAGUCUUAUCCCUGGGCCCGUAUAGCUCCCAGCUUUCCCUUGGGAGUCUCAUGACACAGUGGCACCUCACUUUGUGAUCCCACCCCAUCAUGAAGCAAACUCAAUCUCUAGAUGUGAGCCAACUUCAGGCCCUAGACAUCAGUUACCUAUUUGGAUACUGGACAAACCUACCCCUUUGAACACAAGCCCAGCCUGGCCAUGUUGCUCCUAAAGCUGUAGAGCUUGGCGCCUGUGCUUGCUGGAGAAGCGCUGCUGGGGGGCUGGAAAAAGAGUGACAAAUCAAAGCAGUUUCAGGGUAAAAGCUGGGAGACAUUCCAAGAGGCCAUGAACAGGGGGCCCUGAUUCGGGGGAAGUUUACAACUCUGUCAUGGAGGGAGUAUUCAUCAUUCUCAGAUUGAGUCUCAGCCCAUCAAGGUGUCUGGAGAUCCUGGCCCGGUCCUCCCAGACUGUUCCUCUGAUAGAGUGGUUGUGUUUGCUAUGGGAAAUUCUCCGAGCCUGGACAGUCUCACACCCACUGAGCGGGGACACCAAUGCACCUGACCCGGUUCCCUCCAGCCCUGCUCUGUGUCAGGAAGGUCGCUUCUCCUGCAGAGGAAGAAACAUGGUUUAUUCAGUCCCAGCGUAUUUCAGUGGGAACUUGCAUGGGACGCUCUACCUUUUGUGUGUUAAGCAAGAUGGUUUGAGCUCAUCACAGAACCUAAAGCUGAGCUCGGCUCAGGACUGACUCCACGAGCUGCUGAACGCUGGGCGUCCCUUUGAGGACAGGUGGUCAACCUGGCAAUGCUCCUAAAGCCCCAAAUCCUGGGACAGCUCUCCCACCACGCUUUCCUCUAGACUGUGAGCUGGCCCAGGGUGGCCUCAGGGUGCCUGGUUCAGGGAUGGGCACAGGAGGAAGUGUGCCCCACAGAGCUCCAUCCUGAGUUGGUUUUGUGACUGUGAGGAGACAAGCUGCUCUUACAGGGUGAGAACGAGAGAGACAGAGACAGAGAAAUGAAUACAGAGCUUGCGGACCAG